UCGAGAAUCUUCCGCAAUGGACGAAAGUCUGACGGAGCGACGCCGCGUGGUUGAUGAAGUCCUUCGGGACGUAAAAACCUUUUAUGAGGGAGAAAGUUUAUUGAUGUUACCUCAUGAAUAAGGGGCUCCCAAUUCUGUGCCAGCAGGAGCGGUAAUACAGAAGCCCCAAGCAUUACCCGGAAUCACUGGGCGUAAAGGGUGCGUAGGCGGCUAUGUUAGUCGGAUGUUAAAUCCCGGGGCUCAACCUCGGAAUCGCGUUCGAAACGGCAUAGCUAGGAGAAGUGAGAGGUGCAUGGAACUCAAGGUGUAGGGGUGAAAUCCGUUGAUAUCUUGGGGAACACCAAAUGCGAAGGCAAUGCACUGGCGCUCUCUCGACGCUGAGGCACGAAAGCGUGGGUAGCGAAUGGG
RNAcentral lists this ribosomal RNA (408 nucleotides) under uncultured bacterium. RNAcentral's name for it is "bacterial SSU rRNA". It matches the Rfam family "Bacterial small subunit ribosomal RNA", at positions 355 to 776 of the family's 1533-position model. The record is from RNAcentral.